This 253-nucleotide ribosomal RNA is filed under the name uncultured bacterium. Its description in RNAcentral is "partial 16S ribosomal RNA". It matches the Rfam family "Bacterial small subunit ribosomal RNA", at positions 524 to 776 of the family's 1533-position model. The record is from RNAcentral.
UACAGAGGGUGCAAGCGUUGUUCGGAAUCACUGGGCGUAAAGGGCGCGUAGGUGGCGACCCAAGUCAAUGGUGAAAGCUCGAUGCUCAACAUCGAGUCGGCCACUGAUACUGGGUUGCUUGAGCACUGUAGAGGCUAAUGGAAUUCCGGGUGUAGCGGUGGAAUGCGUAGAGAUCCGGAAGAACACCGGUGGCGAAGGCGGUUAGCUGGGCAGUUGCUGACACUGAGGCGCGACAGCGUGGGGAGCAAACAGG